This 28-nucleotide non-coding RNA is filed under the name Homo sapiens (human). The record is from RNAcentral. Lineage: Eukaryota; Metazoa; Chordata; Mammalia; Primates; Hominidae.
UCCCAGCCUGUGCUGCGUCAUUGCUGCU